GGGAGUGCUCGCAAGAGAACCGGAACACAGGUGCUGCAUGGCUGUCGUCAGCUCGUGUCGUGAGAUGUUGGGUUAAGUCCCGCAACGAGCGCAACCCUUGCCAUUAGUUGCUACGAAGGCACUCUAAUGGGACUGCCGGUGACAAACCGGAGGAAGGUGGGGAUGACGUCAAGUCCUCAUGGCCCUUAUAGGUGGGGCUACACACGUCAUACAAUGGCCGGUACAGAGGGUAGCCAACCCGCGAGGGGGAGCCAAUCCCACAAAGCCGGUCGUAGUCCGGAUCGCAGUCUGCAACUCGACUGCGUGAAGUCGGAAUCGCUAGUAAUCGCGGAUCAGCAUGUCGCGGUGAAUACGUUCCCGGGUCUU
RNAcentral lists this ribosomal RNA (366 nucleotides) under uncultured Allobrachymonas sp. Its description in RNAcentral is "bacterial SSU rRNA". It matches the Rfam family "Bacterial small subunit ribosomal RNA", at positions 1010 to 1382 of the family's 1533-position model. The record is from RNAcentral. Lineage: Bacteria; Pseudomonadati; Pseudomonadota; Betaproteobacteria; Burkholderiales; Comamonadaceae.